This 114-nucleotide small nucleolar RNA is filed under the name Sorex araneus (European shrew). The record is from RNAcentral. Lineage: Eukaryota; Metazoa; Chordata; Mammalia; Eulipotyphla; Soricidae.
UUGCACAUUUUUAUGCUAAGAACAAAGAUAUUUCUGAUGUGCUGAACUAAUUUUUUGAGGUAUAUUAGCAGCAUGAUUUAUUUAGCCAUUGCUGUCAGUUACCUUCAGACAAAU